Molecule: non-coding RNA, 83 nt
Organism: Mycena sp. CBHHK59/15
Lineage: Eukaryota; Fungi; Basidiomycota; Agaricomycetes; Agaricales; Mycenaceae
Source: the annotation of a GenBank genome assembly
GGCUGUGUGGUCUAGUUGGUAAGUAUGGUAGUCUUUUAUUUUGAGUGUUUUCAAGCGGUCGUGGGAUCGAAUCCCAGCAGUUG